RNAcentral lists this ribosomal RNA (781 nucleotides) under uncultured Lactobacillus sp. RNAcentral's name for it is "bacterial SSU rRNA". It matches the Rfam family "Bacterial small subunit ribosomal RNA", at positions 28 to 776 of the family's 1533-position model. The record is from RNAcentral. Lineage: Bacteria; Bacillati; Bacillota; Bacilli; Lactobacillales; Lactobacillaceae.
GACGAACGCUGGCGGCGUGCCUAAUACAUGCAAGUCGAGCGAGCGGAACUAACAGAUUUACUUCGGUAAUGACGUUAGGAAAGCGAGCGGCGGAUGGGUGAGUAACACGUGGGGAACCUGCCCCAUAGUCUGGGAUACCACUUGGAAACAGGUGCUAAUACCGGAUAAGAAAGCAGAUCGCAUGAUCAGCUUUUAAAAGGCGGCGUAAGCUGUCGCUAUGGGAUGGCCCCGCGGUGCAUUAGCUAGUUGGUAAGGUAAAGGCUUACCAAGGCGAUGAUGCAUAGCCGAGUUGAGAGACUGAUUGGCCACAUUGGGACUGAGACACGGCCCAAACUCCUACGGGAGGCAGCAGUAGGGAAUCUUCCACAAUGGACGCAAGUCUGAUGGAGCAACGCCGCGUGAGUGAAGAAGGUUUUCGGAUCGUAAAGCUCUGUUGUUGGUGAAGAAGGAUAGAGGUAGUAACUGGCCUUUAUUUGACGGUAAUCAACCAGAAAGUCACGGCUAACUACGUGCCAGCAGCCGCGGUAAUACGUAGGUGGCAAGCGUUGUCCGGAUUUAUUGGGCGUAAAGCGAGCGCAGGCGGAAGAAUAAGUCUGAUGUGAAAGCCCUCGGCUUAACCGAGGAACUGCAUCGGAAACUGUUUUUCUUGAGUGCAGAAGAGGAGAGUGGAACUCCAUGUGUAGCGGUGGAAUGCGUAGAUAUAUGGAAGAACACCAGUGGCGAAGGCGGCUCUCUGGUCUGCAACUGACGCUGAGGCUCGAAAGCAUGGGUAGCGAACAGG